RNAcentral lists this ribosomal RNA (503 nucleotides) under uncultured bacterium. Its description in RNAcentral is "partial 16S ribosomal RNA". It matches the Rfam family "Bacterial small subunit ribosomal RNA", at positions 30 to 523 of the family's 1533-position model. The record is from RNAcentral.
AUUGAACGCUGGCGGCAGGCUUAACACAUGCAAGUCGAGCGGGGUGAUGGUGCUUGCACUAUCACUUAGCGGCGGACGGGUGAGUAAUGCUUAGGAAUCUGCCUAUUAGUGGGGGACAACAUCUCGGAAGGGAUGCUAAUACCGCAUACGUCCUACGGGAGAGAGCAGGGGAUCACUUGUGACCUUGCGCUAAUAGAUGAGCCUAAGUCGGAUUAGCUAGUUGGUGGGGUAAAGGCCUACCAAGGCGACGAUCUGUAGCGGGUCUGAGAGGAUGAUCCGCCACACUGGGACUGAGACACGGCCCAGACUCCUACGGGAGGCAGCAGUGGGGAAUAUUGGACAAUGGGGGGAACCCUGAUCCAGCCAUGCCGCGUGUGUGAAGAAGGCCUUAUGGUUGUAAAGCACUUUAAGCGAGGAGGAGGCUCUUUUGGUUAAUACCCAAGAUGAGUGGACGUUACUCGCAGAAUAAGCACCGGCUAACUCUGUGCCAGCCGCCGCAGUAA